Long non-coding RNA from Ornithodoros turicata, 1975 nucleotides. RefSeq lists it as uncharacterized. The transcript has 2 exons. The record is from RefSeq and is a predicted model, not a curated record. Lineage: Eukaryota; Metazoa; Arthropoda; Arachnida; Ixodida; Argasidae.
UUUCAGAAAAGGAGCAAGGAGCAUGCGCGAGAUGGUGGUGCGCCCUGUCGGAACUCAGACGAACUGGUGGUUGGCAAGAGUUCUAUUUCUUUAUAUUGUUCUUCCCGCUGAGGUGGAAAUGUUUUCGAUGUGUUAAAUUUCUGCGGCAUAGUACCACUCUGCACAGAAUGACAAUCACAUGCUCAUUUCGAGGCUGUAGCGAAAGGUACAGGAAAGGCAGCAAGUUGGGCUUCUUUCGGUACCCGUGUAAACGACAGAACAAGGAGCAGCAUAAUGCCUGGAUCGGAGCAUCAAACAGGAAAAAGGCGGACGGGACACAAUGGCUGCCUUCAAAGAACGACAGAGUUUGCGGACGGCAUUUCACGUCAGGCAUGUUGGCUGUUACGAUGAAGUGAACGAGCGCGAUCAGCGCAACGGGGUUGCUCGUGAGUAAUAAUCAGAACGUCCCCGCACAGGCAAGCCAUCCAAGUCACCGCUUCAUCCCGACUACAUUCCAAGACGAGAUGCGCACACGUCAGCCUCGAAGGCGGCGGUGGAUCGCUUCAUGCGGACGGCUGUCAGAAUAUGCAAGUCGCUCAAUGAGGGGCAAGGAGCAUCAUCUGUUCCUGAACAUGAUAAUGCACUAACAGCUACUGGUCUGCACCAUGAAGACGGAGAGAGAACUGAGCACGACAUUGUUGUGAAUCUCCUCAAAGAAAACACGUUGUUGAAGAAGUGGGUAGCAGAACUGGAGCAGCAAAAUAAAGACCUCAGUUACCGGCAACUCCAUGUGGACACUCUUGACGAUCGCAGCUUCAAGUACUACACUGGGCUUAAAGACAGAACACAGUUUGAGAAUUUAUUUAACCAUUUAAAACCUCAUGCCCGUAACAUGGUGUAUUGGUCUUCUGCACGGAAAGGUUUCGAUGAUGAGCGAGGGAGGCCGAAGAAAACAGAGCUGCAUGAGGAACUUUUCAUUGUGCUCGUGCGGCUCAGGGCGGGCAUGCCCACUUGAGAAAUGUCAAGAAACUUUGGACUGUCGGAGGGACGUCUGAGUGAAAUGUUUACCACGUGGAUAAAUCUGCUGGAUCGGGCACUAAGGGCAGCAACAAAAAUCCCAUCGAGACGUGAGGUUCAACAACACCUGCCUGCUUCGUUUAAGGGCUUUGAAGACACCCGUUUUGUAAUAGACUGCACUGAGGUACGCAUCCAGAGGCCAUCCGGACUCAAUGCACAACGCUUGACAUUUUCGUCUUACAAGCACUACAAUACCUUCAAAGUGCUUGUCGCUGCCACACCAGAUGGCUACCUCUGUUUUGUAUCAGACUUGUGGGGUGGGCAAGCAAGUGACACAUUCAUUACAGAGCAAAGUAAGUUUUUUCAGCUUUUGCAGCCAGGUGACGCCAUCAUGACUGACAAAGGCUUUAAAGUUCAUUCACUGCCAGAGGGUGUUAAAGUAUACAUGCCACCAUUUAAGAGAACUGCGCAGAUGCCUGCCGCAGAUGUGUCUUCCACUCGUCGAAUAGCCAGCGCACGUAUUCAUAUUGAGAGGGUAAUUAGACGCGUAAAAGAAUUUCACAUUUUGGACAAGCCAUUCCCCAUUAAUAUGACAGACAUUGCACCCCAAAUGUUCAGAGUAUGUUGUUUUCUCAGCAACUUCCAGUCCCCCCUAAUUGCAAAGGCAGGUCCAUAACAUUUGUAGGGCCAACUUGAUUUUGAGGCGCAUUGCUCGCCCAUUGUAUUUAUUCUGGCUUGCACAUUUUUAGACAGUUAAAGGGUAUCCCAGUUGCGUCCCUUUUCUUUGUCAUCCUCCUCUCCCAUUCAACAUCCCCAGUUGCUUUGCAUGAUUGCAUUGAUAAAUUUUGGAGAUAAAUUGAGAAUGUGGAAGGACCACACUGUUCAUAUGUCACGAUAGUGAUGUUCGCAAAUGCAUGUAAUGUAAAAUUCUUUGCUUUGAUUAAUGUUUUCCCAUAAAUAAAGACUGCACUGCUUAUGA